Molecule: ribosomal RNA, 425 nt
Filed under: uncultured Oscillospiraceae bacterium
Lineage: Bacteria; Bacillati; Bacillota; Clostridia; Eubacteriales; Oscillospiraceae
Description: bacterial SSU rRNA
Rfam family: Bacterial small subunit ribosomal RNA
Source: RNAcentral
GUGGGGAAUAUUGCACAAUGGAGGAAACUCUGAUGCAGCGAUGCCGCGUGAGGGAAGAAGGUUUUCGGAUUGUAAACCUCUGUCUUAAGGGACGAUAAUGACGGUACCUUAGGAGGAAGCUCCGGCUAACUACGUGCCAGCAGCCGCGGUAAUACGUAGGGAGCGAGCGUUGUCCGGAAUUACUGGGUGUAAAGGGAGUGUAGGCGGGAUGGUAAGUUAGGUGUGAAAUGCGGAGGCUCAACCUCCGAGCUGCACUUAAAACUGCUGUUCUUGAGUGAAGUAGAGGUUGGCGGAAUUCCCAGUGUAGCGGUGAAAUGCGUAGAUAUUGGGAGGAACAUCAGUGGCGAAGGCGGCCAACUGGGCUUUUACUGACGCUGAGGCUCGAAAGCGUGGGGAGCAAACAGGAUUAGAAACCCGGGUAGUCC